Tachysurus vachellii is the source of this 6296-nucleotide RNA transcript. It is a transcript of the gene named interleukin 15, like, with no coding region annotated. The record is from RefSeq and is a predicted model, not a curated record. The transcript is spliced from 3 exons. Lineage: Eukaryota; Metazoa; Chordata; Actinopteri; Siluriformes; Bagridae.
GUACGUGUGUUGAUUUUGUGUGCUGUUUUGCCUGUUUUACAUGUUUUAAUAAAGGCGGGGCUUUAGUGAUCUUGUAUCUAUGAGAUGCCAAAUGAAAGUUAUUUAGUGUCGGCACUGCGCAGUGGAUCCAGCACUUGCACAGCAAGGAAGCACGACAUUUGCAUAAUAACCGUUUUGGUUUUUCUUUUUCUUUUUCUUCCCACAUUUACUUGUUUCCUCCACUGGGUGUUGCGAGGGCUUGCGUUUGUGGAUUUUCCAUUGAGCGGAACUGAUUUUUAGGACGUAAGGAACAUGUGCAAAUGCGGAGAGACUCGUUGCGCAUGGCGAGCCGGAGCUGGAACAUGGUUUUAAGAAGAGAAGACCAGCACCAGUAUAGAGACUUCAGAAUUGGUGGAGGCGUUCCUGCUCAAGCUCACCAAAAUGGUACUGAACCGUAUUCGUCUGUCAGAUCUUUCUAAACUCUUGUUUCUUUUUCUAGUGUCUAUUUCCUUCUUUCUAUUUACAUGAAAGAGAAACUAGCUCGCUUACUUAAUUACUAAUUUACACAGCAGAUCACUAUAACUCCUGAUCCGUAUCACUAGCUGUCUCUACCCUAGAUAUUUGCUUCAGCUUCUACACUUAUAGUUGAUGUCUAUCAAAAAGGGGUAUUUUGUGCUUCACAGAGUAUAUAACUGUGGGAAUUUGGUCACAUUGCUCUCUGUGAUUUCCCAAGACUAAGCAAGCCUAAAGCGCUUACUGAUAAAGAUGAAUGAAUGCACGGAUAAAUAGAUUAGGUGUUGUACCAGGCACUAGAAUUAGAACUAAAAAUCCAAAUAUAUUGUUAUUCCAUUUCGCGCAGCCUGCAUCUGACAUCUGUUCUUUUAAUCAUUUGCUGGACGAGUGAAAUGAUGACCAAGUGAAAACGUUUAUUGCUAUUUAUUUUAUUACCGUUUGAAAGCUGGUCGAAAGGUCAAGCAAUUAGUUAAGUAAGCAGAUAUCAUUAGAACUCUAUUAACUGUAAUUGUAAACCUAUGCGUGAAAUAGGACACAAUCUGCUGCAGGUUAUCUAAUAAUAUAUUUUAGUAUUUUGAACAACUGUUUCAGAUAUAGUGUGACUUGACAGAAGUGUUCUGUGUGUGUGUGUGUGUGUGUGUGUGUGUGUGUGUGUUAUUGGCAGGGAAUUUCUCAAGAUUUCUGAUCAUAAUUUUUUCCAUUACUUGCAAGCUGCAAAACAAAUCUCUCUCUCUCUCUCUCUCUCUCUCUCUCUCUCUCUCUCUCUCUCUCUCUCUCUCUCUCUGAGCCACCUGUUUCACAGUCAUGUUUUUUAAGUUAUUUCUAAGUUAUUAUUAAACCAACACAUUUUGGUGUCUCAGAACUGGUAAGAAAACUUGAGGGCUUCUGCAUUCAUGUGCCACAUUGUUCCUCUGUCACUGAGAGAAUCAUUAAACAUUCAUGUUGACUCUCUCUUAUCGGCCAAGAAAUAUGCCAACAUUAAUACCGAGUCAGUGAGGACAAGAUAAGAAGAAGAGUACAUGUACAAAUAUUGCAAUAGUUUGAGUGCAAGUCCUAAAAGUACACUCCAACUUUGUUUCUUAAGACGUUUUAUGAGUUAAAGAAUUGUACUUCAUUUCAAACAAUUUCAUGAGCAAUAUGUUCAUAAUCAUCAAGAGUCUGCUUUUUUGAGAUGGAAAAAAUGAGGCAUUCUAGGUAAGGAAGUAGAUUAUCUUUUAAUUGAAAUUGCACUGAUUACUUUAAGUUCUGGUGCACAACCAAUUCCAAGUUUCCUCUUAUUUUUUAAGUCAGUGUAGACAAAUAUGCCUUCUUGUUGAUCAUGGUUCUUGAUGAAGCCAAUGGUUUCGACUGAAGAGUCCUUUUUGGAAAGAGUGAAAUAAAUUUAAAUAGUUUCCCAAUCGAAGGCACGCAAUGCAAUACUUCUAACUUUAGCAGAAUACAGUGGAUUUUUAUAUUGUUGAAAAAUUUUAAAGACAUUUGUAUAAUGUCUUUUCCACUAUAGUGUUGUACAACAUCCCACACUGCAUUUUCUCAAUUGAAUAAAUACAUCAUCUUCUUGUUGGAAUUUUCAUUGUGAACAUUGUUCACUCGCUUGAUUUAUACUUCAAAAUGGUGUAGAAUACUGCAUAGAUAUGCAUAUUGUGUUUUGAGAUGGCGCCAACUUGGAGAUAAGCAUCACGCAGAGCCAAUGAUGUAAACCAGUUCUUUGGGUGCAUGCCAUUAAUGCAAUCUAAAAUAGCAGAAUGAACUGCUGUGAUACUGUAUAUGCAAUGUGAUAAAUAAAUAUAAAAUACUUGGUAUAACAAUAACAGUACUGUGUCUAUUUGGUCUGACGUGCACAAUGCAAGACGCUUAAUGUGAGUGGUAUUACAGUGCAUAUAUACAGUACAUGCAUACAAUAUUUAUCUUACAGUACACAAGAAGGUAUGCAGACAAAUCUUACCACCUCAGAUGUUUAUGAGAGAUGAUGUAUGACAAACGCUGGUAAAAAUUAGGUGACGGGAGAUCAAGUCAGUCUUUGCUGGAUUUAUUAAUAGAGCAGAGUGUCAGAUUUAUUAAUAGAGAAGAGUGUCAAUAUUUCUGGUAAGAAUUGCUGAGUAUAGGUUACAACUGUGACACUAUGCGCUGGCUCAGUGGCCAUAAUGGCAAUAGAAAAUAUUGGCUUAAGCAAAACCUUAUAUGUGAUAUCCAUAUUUUCCAUUUGUUUGAAUAGUAAGUUGCUUAUUAAUGUGUAGAUCCCACAGUGAAACCAAUCUGAUGUUUGGAGACAUUUUGCAACUUUAAGAAAGGUUUUGACUAGAUUAAGUGUUUUCCAAUGUAAACUGUAAUCCUGUGCCAAUGAAGAGCAGCCAAUGCUCCCAAGUACACUUCUAAAACACUUCUAGCAAAGUGCCUCAAAUGAUUGUUUAUGCCCAGUGUUCCUCACUGUUGGCCUCAGUUCCCAUUUUAGAAUUCCCAAUUUAGGAACGACCCGAGCCCAACCACAUCUUUUUAGAGAGUCUGAGUUUCUUCAUACUCGAAGGCGAUGAUUUGAUUUUCAAAAGACAAGUUACUGUCUAAGUGCAGUAUAUAUCCAGUUAGUUAGUUUUCUUAUGCAGAAAUUUACCCAUAGUCAGGACCUGAAUUUAGGGGAUUUUUCAUGCAUUCCAAUUUCUUAUAGACACAUUAUACAAAUAACAAGAGUUUCAUUAUGGAAAUGUAUUUGUUUGCUUACAUUUAGUUUGACCUAUUACCAGGAAUAUAGUAUUACCAGUUUCUGUGGUGUGCUCGGAUUUCUCCAUGAGAUUUCUCACGUCUCACGCUAAUUUCAACGCUCUUGCCACAAUAACAUGAUUACAGUCUUGUGUAGGAGGAUGCAAUCAACACAUUUGUUUAAUUCUGAGCCACACUUCAUAGUGAAUGGUCUGUUUAAUGGUGGAGAAAAGUGAAGCGCGAAAAAGAGUGGAAGCUUUAAUAUUCUUUCCAAAUCCGAAAGCUGGCAGACACAGAGUGACUAAUCAGGUGCAGGUCAGGUGAUCUGUAUACACCACAAUGAGGCAUGAAUGAGGCACAACACAAAUCAUGAGGUACAGAAGAAGCAGUCAUACCAUGGGAGCAUGUACCGUGUACAAAGCCUUGUUCUUGACACAAACACGGUGUAAACUGCAUGAAGUGAAUGAAUGAAAGACGUAAUAACUGUGUGGUAUUUGAGUGUUCAUUGUGAGCGUAGCUGUGUAUUCCUAUGUGGCCAUGCUUGUGGACUGCAGAGUAUGUGAUCCUGAUGUGGUAGUGAUUUUGUAAGCUUAAAUUUAAGUUUUGCUUCCACAAAUCCAACGAGCACACUUUCAUGUAGACACUUUGCACGCUUAUUCAGAGUAAAUGUUAUUUUAGCUGCUGCCUGUUUUGACCACGCGCCCAAGAUCCUCUUUAUUUGGUGCUUAAAAUUAUUUGGAAUCGAACCCAGACCACAGCAACCAGAUCACGGGAUCCUGCCGCUGGACCAGUCGGAGUCUUACACUCUUAGAGUAAUAUAUUUAAAAAAUAAAAAGUGCUGAAACCAAAACUGAAAGUGAAAACUAAAUUUUGACAACAUGCCAACUGCAGCAUAGUAAAUGCCUACAGAUAAUUUAUUAUCACACUGAUACGGGUGCCAUGUGUGGAGUAGAUUAACCUUUAACAUGAUAAUACACGUAAAAGCUGAAGAUAAAUGAAUUCAUUAGAUAUAAUACCUAAACUAUUCAUAUUUCAUUUCUUUAUCUUACAUUAACAACCUUAUUUUACAAAAACAAUAAUAAUAAAAUCAUAAAAUAAAAACAAUAGCAAAAGCUACAAUUUAGUCAUUUUGAUACUGAUACCGGGGGCACGGUGGCUUAGUGGUUAGAACGUUCGCCUCACACCUCCAGGGUCGGGGUUCGAUUCCCGCCUCCACCUUGUGUGUGUGGAGUUUGCAUGUUCUCCCCGUGCCUCGGGGGUUUCCUCCGGGUACUCCGGUUUCCUCCCCCGGUCCAAAGACAUGCAUGGUAGGUUGAUUGGCAUCUCUGGAAAAAUUGUCCCUAGUGUGUGAUUGCGUGAGUGAAUGAGAGUGUGUGUGUGCCCUGCGAUGGGUUGGCACUCCGUCCAGGGUGUAUCCUGCCUUGAUGCCCGAUGACGCCUGAGAUAGGCACAGGCUCCCCGUGACCCGAGGUAGUUCGGAUAAGCGGUAGAAGAUGAAUGAUGAAUGAAUGAUACUGAUACCAAUGCAUUCUUCUAUCAUAACAGGAAUUUAACGAUUUCAGGCUAUACACUCCAACACUACAAAAUUAUAAGGUAUGUGUUUCUUGCAUGUAAUAGUAUUCUUCAUUUUAAUGUCUGUAGCUCAUGAGUACACUUUUUAUUAUUUUAUAUUAUUGUGCUGUUUUUUUACACUAAUUGACAAGUCAGUAUUUCUGAGAAAUGUUGAGAAUUCCUUGGGAACAAUUUCAACAGCACCUAAAGCAGAUUCUCCCCGUUACACGUGUGUGUUGUAUGUUGCAAAUGCAUGUCUAAGCAUAUAAGCAAAAAGUUUUCUUAUUUUUAUUAAAGACAUGAUUUCUUUUUAUGUAUUAUUUUAAAUGCAUAGUCAUAAAAUAUUUUGGUGUUUUUGCCCGUGUUUACCGUGCAGGCUUCAAGAUGUUGUCUUCUCACUCCAGCAGAAAUGUUCCAGAUCUACAUUGGAGUGCUUUCAAAAGGAGAUGACCGUCCUUGUUAAAGAGACUAAGGAAAAUUCCAGUUUACCCAAAAGGCUCCAAGAUCUCCAACGAAGACUUAGUAACAAGAUGCCUCCUUGCCCAAAGUGUGAGGUCUACAACGAAACACAAGCUGAAAUAUUUCUUGAGACUUUGAGAACUAUUUUGCAAUUUAUUUGCACCACUUAGACAAAAUCUGGAUCUCACUGAACUAACAUGCUUUGAAGAAGCUGGGUAUUCAGGAGAAAUGUAUUUCCUGAGUUGAACCCUGAGUUUGUAGCUCUUCUGCCUCAAAGAUUGAAAUUUCGCAUGUGCUAACAUGCUGUUCUGCUCACCACAUUUGUAAAAAGUGGUUAUUAUAUUCAUCCUGUCAGCACCAACCAGUCAUUCAAUCAACCCAUUCUCCUUUUAGCUCUGAUGAACAAGAUAUUUCUGCUGAAAGAAUAGCAGCUCACAGUAUGUUCUUUGUUUGUUUUAUGUUUUUGUUUGCAUUGUUCUGGGUAAAUUCAAAAGACUGUUGUGUUUGAAAAACCAAGAAGAUCAGAAGUACAUGAAAUACACAAACCAACUCAACUGAAUCUGACAACCAAGCAACGUUUAAUAUCACUGAGAAAGCUAUUCUCCUCAUUUAGGUGUUUUAUAAAACAUUUAUUUAAGCUCUUCACUAUCAGCCUGAUUAUAUGCAUUUUGCUGCUGCCACAUUGGCUGUUUAUAUCAAGAACAUGCUUGUGUGCAGAGGUUCUGUAUAUAUAUUUGCACAUAAUAUUAUAUUGUUUUAUAUUUCACUCAGUUAAAAAAUAUAGGUUUCACAUAUAAUUUUUGCAUUUGGUUUGACUGGAAACUACCUCUAUAUUAACACUAAAGGCUUUUAGGAAGGAAUGCAAAGUCAGCUUUCAGUAUAUCUGUUUCUUGUUUACCUGCUUAUCAUGUUUCAAUGUUUCACAUUUAAAUGUAUAUUUAAGAUUUGUUGACUCGUGUGUUCUAACUAACCUAAAAGUUAUGUCAUUAACAUAUCGUUGCACAAUUCUUACAGUAAAAGCAAUAUUUUCUUGGGAUAUUUAUUUGUUUUCUGUUAUUUAAACAAUUUUCAGCUUUGUUAUAAAUAAACAUUCUGUCAUUUAA